UACGAAGGGGGCUAGCGUUGCUCGGAAUCACUGGGCGUAAAGCGCACGUAGGCGGAUUGUUAAGUCAGGGGUGAAAUCCUGGAGCUCAACUCCAGAACUGCCUUUGAUACUGGCGACCUUGAGUCCGGGAGAGGUGAGUGGAACUCCGAGUGUAGAGGUGAAAUUCGUAGAUAUUCGGAAGAACACCAGUGGCGAAGGCGGCUCACUGGCCCGGUACUGACGCUGAGGUGCGAAAGCGUGGGGAGCAAACAGG
This 253-nucleotide ribosomal RNA is filed under the name uncultured bacterium. RNAcentral's name for it is "partial 16S ribosomal RNA". It matches the Rfam family "Bacterial small subunit ribosomal RNA", at positions 524 to 776 of the family's 1533-position model. The record is from RNAcentral.